GGGGGUGACAGGUCUCGACUUUGGAUGUCGAGGCAGGUGAAGCGGGCCGAGGAAGGCGACGAUGAUCUCGUUAACCAACAACGUCGCACAACACACAAGCGCCGACAACAGUCCGCGCGCCUUCGCUCUCGCUGCUUAGCAGCUAGUUCGAGGCUGUCAGCCCGGGAGCGCCUCCGGCCCGGAAUCUGGCAUCGCAAGGAGGAUCACCGUUCAACCCGGUCACCGGGUGGAGCGGAAAAUCCAACAGUGACUGAGCUCGUUCCCGACUUGCUGGCGUGAUCGGGAGGGCCGAGAAAAUCACAGUCAGCUGCGCCCGGAGAAGCCCUGCCAAGGUGCCAGAGGACGCGGGUUCGAUUCCCGCCACCUCCACCG
This 372-nucleotide transfer-messenger RNA is filed under the name Frankiales bacterium. It matches the Rfam family "transfer-messenger RNA". From Rfam's summary of the family: Bacterial tmRNA, also known as 10Sa RNA or SsrA, is named for its dual tRNA and mRNA-like properties. Its role is to liberate the mRNA from a stalled ribosome. To accomplish this part of the tmRNA is used as a reading frame that ends in a translation stop signal. The record is from Rfam by way of RNAcentral. Lineage: Bacteria; Bacillati; Actinomycetota; Actinomycetes; Frankiales.